GUUUUUAUGGUGUAUUGUCACAUUGAAAUUUCAUUUCAAAAGAGUAUUAUACUAUAUACUAAAAAUA
RNAcentral lists this transfer RNA (67 nucleotides) under Pomacea bridgesi. RNAcentral describes it as "tRNA-Glu". The record is from RNAcentral. Lineage: Eukaryota; Metazoa; Mollusca; Gastropoda; Architaenioglossa; Ampullariidae.